UCCAGACUCCUACGGGAGGCAGCAGUGGGGAAUAUUGCACAAUGGGGGGAACCCUGAUGCAGCGACGCCGCGUGAGUGAAGAAGUAUUUCGGUAUGUAAAGCUCUCUCAGCAGGGAAGAAAAUGACGGUACCUGACUAAGAAGCCCCGGCUAACUACGUGCCAGCAGCCGCGGUAAUACGUAGGGGGCAAGCGUUAUCCGGAUUUACUGGGUGUAAAGGGAGCGUAGACGGCCAUGCAAGCCAGGGGUGAAAGCCCGGGGCCCAACCCCGGGACUGCCCUUGGAACUGCAUGGCUGGAGUGCGGGAGGGGCAGGCGGAAUUCCUGGUGUAGCGGUGAAAUGCGUAGAUAUCAGGAGGAACACCGGCGGCGAAGGCGGCCUGCUGGACCGCGACUGACGUUGAGGCUCGAAAGCGUGGGGAGCGAGCAGGAUUAGAUACCCCUGUACA
RNAcentral lists this ribosomal RNA (447 nucleotides) under uncultured bacterium. RNAcentral's name for it is "bacterial SSU rRNA". It matches the Rfam family "Bacterial small subunit ribosomal RNA", at positions 330 to 794 of the family's 1533-position model. The record is from RNAcentral.